Molecule: ribosomal RNA, 460 nt
Filed under: uncultured bacterium
Lineage: Bacteria
Description: partial 16S ribosomal RNA
Rfam family: Bacterial small subunit ribosomal RNA
Source: RNAcentral
CCUACGUGAGGCAGCAGUGAGGAAUAUUGGUCAAUGGCCGGAAGGCUGAACCAGCCAAGUCGCGUGAGGGAAUACGGCCCUAUGGGUCGUAAACCUCUUUUGUCAGGGAGCAAAGGCGUCCACGAGUGGACGAAAGGAGAGUAACUGAAGGAAAAGCAUCGGCUAACUCCGUGCCAGCAGCCGCGGUAAUACGGAGGAUGCGAGCGUUAUCCGGAUUUAUUGGGUUUAAAGGGUGCGUAGGCGGAGUGUCAAGUCAGCGGUAAAAUUUCGGGGCUCAACCCCGUCGUGCCGUUGAAACUGACACCCUUGAGUGAGUGAGAAGUAAGCGGAAUGCGUGGGGUAGCGGUGAAAUGCAUAGAUAUCACGCAGAACCCCGAGUGCGAAGGCAGCCUGCCAAGCCAUGACUGACGCUGAUGCACGAAAGCGUGGGGAUCAAACAGGAUUAGAUACCCUGGUAGUC